AUUAAACGCUGGCGGCAUGCUUAACACAUGCAAGUCGAACGGUAACAGGCCCUUCGGGGUGCUGACGAGUGGCGGACGGGUGAGUAAUGCUUAGGAAUCUGCCUAGUAGUGGGGGAUAACCCGGGGAAACUCGGGCUAAUACCGCAUACGCCCUACGGGGAAAGGCGGAGGACUUUCGGUCCGUCGCGCUAUUAGAUGAGCCUAAGUCCGAUUAGUCUAGUUGGUAGGGUAAUGGCCUACCAAGGCGACGANCGGUUAGCUGGUCUGAGAGGAC
RNAcentral lists this ribosomal RNA (274 nucleotides) under uncultured bacterium. RNAcentral's name for it is "partial 16S ribosomal RNA". It matches the Rfam family "Bacterial small subunit ribosomal RNA", at positions 30 to 301 of the family's 1533-position model. The record is from RNAcentral.